CAUCACGGCUCGCCCUCGCUUUCAAGCGCUCUUCCUCUCUCGUUCUUCGCCUUCCUCUCUCACUCGCACAAACAGCGGCGUGGCGACCAUACAGCCUGUUCUCGCGCUUGAGCUCACCGCUGCUGUGCUUUCUGCUCUCGUUUUGUGUGUCGCGUUCUCCCGUAUUCCAGCAGGGCCUCCCUCCCUCAAUGGACUCCACCGAUCGGAAGGCCGACAAGGCACCUGUGGCGUCCUCGAAGAUGGAUGGUGCAGCCAAGGGCGCGAAGCCUGGCUCGUUCGCCCUCGGCGACGCCGUUCCCGGCUAUGCAGGCGCUGAGGACGGCCCACUUGUGCAACAGCUUCCAAUGCCGUCACAUAUAAUGCCGUACUACGGGCAGUAUCCUGCCAUGUGCGCUCUCCCUCCCGGUGCCGCGCCGAUGGGAUUUCCCAUGCCGCCGCAAACCGGCGCCGGCUCACCGCAAAUGUGGAUGCCCGGCAUGGUGCCACCCCCACCUGGCGCAAACCCGAACGCGACUCUCACGCCCCAUCCCUACGUAUCGCAGUAUGGUGCCGGCGCGCAGCCUUUGAUGUACAUGCCAUUAUCAUAUAGCUACCCGCCGUGCAUGGCAGCAACUGCGGUCACCCCUGCCCCGGCGAUGGGAGCCUCCUUCAACGGGCAGCAGUCCGCGAAGCCGGCGCCGCAGGGAGCGACUCCCCCGUACACUGCCACAAUGGCUGCACCUCCUCAUCCGCAUUCAAGCGCCGCCGAAACACCGAUGCUCUCUUCACCUUUCAUGGAAGCAUCAUCAGCGAACAGCACAGCACCGGCACUCCCAGUUGCGCCGGCGCCCGUGCCCGUGCCGAGCAUGACUCCCCUCGAGUUCUCCGUGAGGCCACUGAUGCCUAACACCAAGUUGCCACCUGGCGACUCGUUCUGUCCAGCAGGUGCGACAGUACCGUCACAAUACGCGACUGCGUCUGCUGCCUGCUUCUCUGAUGCCGCUGCCGUUGAUGCCUCGCUGUCGCCGCGACCGCAUCCCAGCAACAGCGUGACGGACGACUUCCCGGCUAUGUCGCAGCAGGGGGAGUCGCAGCCAAUCAUUGUGGCGGCUGCUGCUGGCCUAAGCGCAUCCUAGCGCGUUCCGUUCCGCUUUGCUGCCGGACCGGCCCCAUUCGCGGUGGCCACUGCUGCGCCCUGCCCGAAAUGCCAACUGCAGGCUUUGCCAGGAAGCCGUGCGUGAUGACCGGGGGCGUGUGCUGCUCUCGUUUGACCUGUUGGGCUCUUGCCUGUCGUCGGGUCUCAGCUUUGCCUGUUCUUGAUUUGCGUCUGUCGGGCGCUGCUGGCAUCGCUGCUACAAAUGGAUGAUGCCCCGGCCGCGCCAGGGCAGCGCGGAGGAGACGGAAGGGAGGGGGGGGGAGUGAACAGCGCGAGCAUGGUGGAGGAUGGACGCCUUUUUUCUUUGUCCGAUGUGAGAGUGGGCGCGCCGCCUGCACGUCUGCCUUCUUUUUUGUUGCGGCGUUGCCUUUGCUUCAUCGCAGCGCCUGUGUGAUUGUUGCUGGCUGUGCUUCAAGGCACACGCACGCACAUGCGUUCGUGUGCACGUGCUUGUGCACGCCUGUGCGCACGUGUGAACCUUCUUGGGUAUGAGCGCUUUUACGUCUACGAAGAGGCGCUGCUUGAGCUGAGCAUUGCUUUAUUUGGUUUCGGGCCCGCUGUCCGCCUCUGAGAUACGGGAGACGGCCUAAAAGAGUGCGAGCCCAAGCCCUCGCUCCGCGUGUGUGCAAAGUCAAG
This 1771-nucleotide unclassified non-coding RNA is filed under the name Leishmania donovani. Its description in RNAcentral is "gene:LdHU3.29.4120(CDS-product:hypothetical_prote in_conserved)". Lineage: Eukaryota; Euglenozoa; Kinetoplastea; Trypanosomatida; Trypanosomatidae. The record is from RNAcentral.